This 44-nucleotide non-coding RNA is filed under the name Schistosoma mansoni. The record is from RNAcentral. Lineage: Eukaryota; Metazoa; Platyhelminthes; Trematoda; Strigeidida; Schistosomatidae.
AUCUGAUGUCGAGUCCUAGAUAGAACGAAACGCGUGUCCUGGAU